AGACAGUAUGGCUGGCAGCAUUUAACAAGCAGCUUCCAGCCACUUCCCAGUGGAAUUUGUUUUUCAGAGAGAAAUCUUGAAGAAACCUUCUUUCCUGAAGCAAUUCUCUGCUAAUUCCAUUUUGGUUUUGAGUUGUAUCAGGACAGCAAUGGCUUCUGCUGUUAUCAAGAGCAUACAGGAAAUCCCUCAACAAGAAAUACAUGGACUUUAAGAACUAAAAGAUGAAACAUGUCAUAGAUGCAAAAAUGCCCCGUACAGAAACAAACCCACAUGGCAGGAUUGUCAUCAUCUAUGCCACAAGAAUGCUCUACCAUGGAUUAGUAACAAAGAUUGCAGAAAGAAGCCUGCUGCACAGAGAACCGUUACUAGGUCAGCCAAAACAACCAGACUGUUGCCAUGCAAGCAUAAAAACACUGAAGUAGAAGUUGUCAAAGAAUUGUCCCCCUGGGUUCCUUUGCUCUCAGCACCCCAAGCAGGUUCUUUGCUUCCAAGAACAGUCCCAACUCCUUUGGGUCUCUGCUUCCCAGGCAAAUCCUUCUCCCUUUCAGACCCAAACUCCCGGUAGUUCUGCCACCAUCCCUCUUCCUGGUUACUUUCUCUGAGAGGGGAUCUCGGAGACCUAUGUGAGUCCUAAGAGUAUUAACCCACAUUAAUCAACAGUAAUCAGUAGCAUCCAGCGGUCAAAUACUAGAUUUAGAAUCAUUAGUUUCAAGCCAACACACACCAUCUAUAAAAGAGUAGUUUAUUUAAAAGAAAUAGAACGGUAUAUUCAAAAGAGAGCAGCAAUUGUUUCCUUAAAGCUAAUCACCCUCAGCCGGGCUACACGAGGUACAUUGGUAACAAAGGUGAGAGGUUCAAUACAGACAAAGAAUAUAACAAAGAUCUAGCUAAACUAAGGUCCUAUACUUACAGUAGAAUAGCCUGGUUUCCCAAUGGCUUUUCUUUUCUAUAAAACUUCAAGCGAGUCGAGUAGAUGGAAAUAGGGAACAAAGACUGAAGGAGCAUCCUUCAUUUUUAUGGAGUUUAUCAGUCGACAAGGAGGGGGGAGGCAAAUAGCCAUAUUCCGCCCCUGCCGUGAUCCACUUCUUUGAAGCCUUUGAAGAUAAGGGGCUAGAAAGCCUCACCCAGGGGUCCUGAUCUACAACACCCCCUCUUCCUGACUUUUGAUCUCAGGAAGCUGAUAAGGGAUAACAGCUAAGGUUCAGUUGCAUCUUCUUGCAAGGUUGCAAAUUGUCUGUCUGACACUAAGCCGCGGAUCUCAGUAGGGUGUCCUAUGGAACCACAGACUCCCAGAAUUCUCUCUGGUUGACCCAUUUCAGCUUGACCAAAGUUAGCUAUUCUUGACAGAAGUAAGACUGGAUUUCUCAAAGGAUAUCAUACACCAUGUCCAUAAUGAUAAACCCACCACCUCUACAAAUAUUUGCCAGGCUGCUAGUCCUGUUGGUUUUGAG
Rhineura floridana is the source of this 1451-nucleotide long non-coding RNA. RefSeq lists it as uncharacterized. The record is from RefSeq and is a predicted model, not a curated record. Lineage: Eukaryota; Metazoa; Chordata; Lepidosauria; Squamata; Rhineuridae. The transcript is spliced from 3 exons.